This 720-nucleotide ribosomal RNA is filed under the name Pholiotina mediterranea. Its description in RNAcentral is "LSU rRNA". It matches the Rfam family "Eukaryotic large subunit ribosomal RNA", at positions 119 to 826 of the family's 3401-position model. Lineage: Eukaryota; Fungi; Basidiomycota; Agaricomycetes; Agaricales; Bolbitiaceae. The record is from RNAcentral.
AAUCUGGCAGCCUCUGGUUGUCCGAGUUGUAACCUAGAGAAGUGUUAUCCGUGUUGGACCGUGUAAAAGUCUCCUGGAAUGGAGCGUCAUAGAGGGUGAGAAUCCCGUCUUUGACACGGACUGCCAAUGCAUUGUGAUGCGCUCUCAAAGAGUCGAGUUGUUUGGGAAUGCAGCUCAAAAUGGGUGGUAAAUUCCAUCUAAAGCUAAAUAUUGGCGAGAGACCGAUAGCGAACAAGUACCGUGAGGGAAAGAUGAAAAGAACUUUGGAAAGAGAGUUAAACAGUACGUGAAAUUGCUGAAAGGGAAACGCUUGAAGUCAGUCGCGUUGGCCAGGAAUCAACCUUGCUUCUGCUGGGUGUACUUUCUGGUUGACGGGUCAGCAUCAAUUUUGGCCGUUGGAAAAAGUGCAGAGGAAUGUGGCAUCUUCGGAUGUGUUAUAGCCUCGGUUCGCAUACAACGGCUGGGAUUGAGGAGCUCAGCACGCCGCAAGGCCGGGUUUCGACCACGUACGUGCUUAGGAUGCUGGCAUAAUGGCUUUAAUCGACCCGUCUUGAAACACGGACCAAGGAGUCUAACAUGCCUGCGAGUGUUUGGGUGGAAAACCCGAGCGCGCAAUGAAAGUGAAAGUUGAGAUCCCUGUCGCGGGGAGCAUCGACGCCCGGACCAGACCUCUUGUGACGGUUCCGCGGUAGAGCAUGUAUGUUGGGACCCGAAAGAUGG